This 229-nucleotide ribosomal RNA is filed under the name uncultured bacterium. RNAcentral describes it as "partial 16S ribosomal RNA". It matches the Rfam family "Bacterial small subunit ribosomal RNA", at positions 1272 to 1500 of the family's 1533-position model. The record is from RNAcentral.
UCCCAAAAAUAAACGUCCCAGUUCGGACUGUAGUCUGCAACCCGACUACACGAAGCUGGAAUCGCUAGUAAUCGCGAAUCAGAAUGUCGCGGUGAAUACGUUCCCGGGUCUUGUACACACCGCCCGUCACGCCAUGGGAGCCGGUAAUACCCGAAGUCAGUAGUCCAACCUCGUGAGGACGCUGCCGAAGGUAGGAUUGGCGACUGGGGUGAAGUCGUAACAAGGUACC